Long non-coding RNA from Spinacia oleracea (spinach), 728 nucleotides. RefSeq lists it as uncharacterized. Lineage: Eukaryota; Viridiplantae; Streptophyta; Magnoliopsida; Caryophyllales; Amaranthaceae. The transcript has 3 exons. The record is from RefSeq and is a predicted model, not a curated record.
CUGCCGCCGGCCAACCUGAUACAACCACCCUCAAAAUUUUCUGUUAUCCACCCCUGGAAUAUGCUCAUUCACUACUCACAAAUAUCAAGCUCGAAUUGUAGCAUUCCAUUGCCGAAACCGAACAUUAACUCACGCACAACCUCUUUUCUCUCUCUCCAUUGACGCGGACCACUACCGCCCAAACCACCGGCGAAAACCUUAUCCGACCACCUGACCACCUCCCUGUUGCCGCCUUGUGCUUCCUCUGCUUUCGUGGGACAUACGAGUCAUACCCAGUUGCUGCCUUCCUUCCUCCUUCCUUUUCUCUUGGUUCGUGUUCUGUUCAUGAAGACCAAGUUUGGUCUUUCAACUUCCUAAAUUUUUGGAACUAGUGGGCCUAUAUUCUAAGUCAAAAGGUCAAACCCAAUAACAAUCAAGAAAGCCAAGUUGGACGAAUAUUCAAUUUUGGAGCUCAGGAAGAACGGCCCAUCGAACGGGAAGUAUAAAAUUACGGUUGAGGUACGAAGAAGAUCAUGGGAUGCCUUAGAGUGAGGAUGCAACCAUCAAAUUCACGAUCGAUAAAGAUAACUAUGUCUCACUAGUAAUAAUGGAUGUAUUAAUUAAACUCUAAGUAUUAAGUUAGAUUUUAAUAUUUAUGUUUAAUCAAUGUUAGGAAUAUUUAUUAAAGUUCAUUUAGAUUUCGGUGUAAAUAUUAAAGAAUUAAUCGAAGUGAAGUAUAAUUACAGUUA